AUGCUGUGAGCUCGAUGAGUAGGGCGGGACACGUGGUAUCCUGUCUGAAUAUGGGGGGACCAUCCUCCAAGGCUAAAUACUCCUGACUGACCGAUAGUGAACCAGUACCGUGAGGGAAAGGCGAAAAGAACCCCGGCGAGGGGAGUGAAAAAGAACCUGAAACCGUGUACGUACAAGCAGUGGGAGCCC
RNAcentral lists this ribosomal RNA (189 nucleotides) under Salmonella enterica subsp. enterica serovar Muenchen str. baa1674. RNAcentral's name for it is "partial 23S ribosomal RNA". It matches the Rfam family "Bacterial large subunit ribosomal RNA", at positions 394 to 582 of the family's 2925-position model. Lineage: Bacteria; Pseudomonadati; Pseudomonadota; Gammaproteobacteria; Enterobacterales; Enterobacteriaceae. The record is from RNAcentral.